GACGAACGCUGGCGGCGCGCCUAACACAUGCAAGUCGAACGAGCGAGAGGGAGCUUGCUUUCUCGAGCGAGUGGCGAACGGGUGAGUAACGCGUGAGGAACCUGCCUCAAAGAGGGGGACAACAGUUGGAAACGACUGCUAAUACCGCAUAAGCCCACGACCCGGCAUCGGGUUGAGGGAAAAGGAGCAAUCCGCUUUGAGAUGGCCUCGCGUCCGAUUAGCUAGUUGGUGAGGUAACGGCCCACCAAGGCAACGAUCGGUAGCCGGACUGAGAGGUUGAACGGCCACAUUGGGACUGAGACACGGCCCAGACUCCUACGGGAGGCAGCAGUGGGGAAUAUUGCACAAUGGGGGAAACCCUGAUGCAGCGACGCCGCGUGGAGGAAGAAGGUCUUCGGAUUGUAAACUCCUGUUGUUGGGGAAGAUAAUGACGGUACCCAACAAGGAAGUGACGGCUAACUACGUG
RNAcentral lists this ribosomal RNA (466 nucleotides) under uncultured bacterium. Its description in RNAcentral is "bacterial SSU rRNA". It matches the Rfam family "Bacterial small subunit ribosomal RNA", at positions 28 to 507 of the family's 1533-position model. The record is from RNAcentral.